AUGCUGGUGAGACGAGACCCACCUCCACCUGGCAUGCAGGAAAUAUGCAUUGAAAAGGCUCCAGGAGAAAAAUUGGGCAUCAGCAUCCGGGGUGGAGCAAAAGGUCAUGCUGGGAAUCCCUUUGAUCCCACUGAUGAAGGCAUCUUCAUUUCUAAGGUGAGCUCCUCGGGGGCUGCUGCGCGGGACGGGCGCCUGAAGG
Non-coding RNA from Tinamus guttatus (white-throated tinamou), 199 nucleotides. The record is from RefSeq and is a predicted model, not a curated record. Lineage: Eukaryota; Metazoa; Chordata; Aves; Tinamiformes; Tinamidae.